RNAcentral lists this ribosomal RNA (524 nucleotides) under uncultured Alternaria. Its description in RNAcentral is "eukaryotic LSU rRNA". The stretch from base 177 to 330 matches the Rfam family "5.8S ribosomal RNA". The record is from RNAcentral. Lineage: Eukaryota; Fungi; Ascomycota; Dothideomycetes; Pleosporales; Pleosporaceae.
AGGGAUCAUUACACAAAUAUGAAGGCGGGCUGGAACCUCUCGGGGUUACAGCCUUGCUGAAUUAUUCACCCUUGUCUUUUGCGUACUUCUUGUUUCCUUGGUGGGUUCGCCCACCACUAGGACAAACAUAAACCUUUUGUAAUUGCAAUCAGCGUCAGUAACAAAUUAAUAAUUACAACUUUCAACAACGGAUCUCUUGGUUCUGGCAUCGAUGAAGAACGCAGCGAAAUGCGAUAAGUAGUGUGAAUUGCAGAAUUCAGUGAAUCAUCGAAUCUUUGAACGCACAUUGCGCCCUUUGGUAUUCCAAAGGGCAUGCCUGUUCGAGCGUCAUUUGUACCCUCAAGCUUUGCUUGGUGUUGGGCGUCUUGUCUCUAGCUUUGCUGGAGACUCGCCUUAAAGUAAUUGGCAGCCGGCCUACUGGUUUCGGAGCGCAGCACAAGUCGCACUCUCUAUCAGCAAAGGUCUAGCAUCCAUUAAGCCUUUUUUCAACUUUUGACCUCGGAUCAGGUAGGGAUACCCGCUGA